CGUCGUAGUCCGGAUUGGAGUCUGCAACUCGACUCCAUGAAGUCGGAAUCGCUAGUAAUCGUAGAUCAGAAUGCUACGGUGAAUACGUUCCCGGGCCUUGUACACACCGCCCGUCACACCAUGGGAGUGGGUUGCAAAAGAAGUAGGUAGCUUAACCUUCGGGAGGGCGCUUACCACUUUGUGAUUCAUGACUGGGGUGAAGUCGUAACAAGGUAACCGUAGGGGAACCUGCGGUUGGAUCACCUCCUUA
Molecule: ribosomal RNA, 250 nt
Filed under: Providencia rettgeri
Lineage: Bacteria; Pseudomonadati; Pseudomonadota; Gammaproteobacteria; Enterobacterales; Morganellaceae
Also listed under: 3 other names
Description: partial 16S ribosomal RNA
Rfam family: Bacterial small subunit ribosomal RNA
Source: RNAcentral